This 472-nucleotide ribosomal RNA is filed under the name uncultured bacterium. RNAcentral describes it as "bacterial SSU rRNA". It matches the Rfam family "Bacterial small subunit ribosomal RNA", at positions 355 to 825 of the family's 1533-position model. The record is from RNAcentral.
UGGGGAAUAUUGGACAAUGGGCGAAAGCCUGAUCCAGCCAUGCCGCGUGUGUGAAGAAGGUCUUCGGAUUGUAAAGCACUUUAAGUUGGGAGGAAGGGCAGUUACCUAAUACGUGAUUGUUUUGACGUUACCGACAGAAUAAGCACCGGCUAACUCUGUGCCAGCAGCCGCGGUAAUACAGAGGGUGCAAGCGUUAAUCGGAAUUACUGGGCGUAAAGCGCGCGUAGGUGGUUAGUUAAGUUGGAUGCGAAAUCCCCGGGCUCAACCUGGGAACUGCAUUCAAAACUGACUGACUAGAGUAUGGUAGAGGGUGGUGGAAUUUCCUGUGUAGCGGUGAAAUGCGUAGAUAUAGGAAGGAACACCAGUGGCGAAGGCGACCACCUGGACUGAUACUGACACUGAGGUGCGAAAGCGUGGGGAGCAAACAGGAUUAGAUACCCCAGUAGUCCCUGAGCGGGCUGGCAAGGCGCAU